Molecule: ribosomal RNA, 253 nt
Filed under: uncultured bacterium
Lineage: Bacteria
Description: partial 16S ribosomal RNA
Rfam family: Bacterial small subunit ribosomal RNA
Source: RNAcentral
GACGUAGGGCGCGAGCGUUGUCCGGAUUUAUUGGGCGUAAAGAGCUCGUAGGCGGCUUGUCGCGUCGAAUGUGAAAUCUCAGGGCUCAACUCUGACAUUGCAUUCGAUACGGGCAGGCUAGAGUUCGGUAGGGGAGACUGGAAUUCCUGGUGUAGCGGUGAAAUGCGCAGAUAUCAGGAGGAACACCGGUGGCGAAGGCGGGUCUCUGGGCCGAUAUUGACGCUGAGGAGCGAAAGCGUGGGGAGCGAACAGG